AUUGAACGCUGGCGGAAUGCUUUACACAUGCAAGUCGAACGGUAGAGGGGGCAACCCCUUGAGAGUGGCGAACGGGUGAGUAAUAUAUCGGAACGUGCCCAGUCGUGGGGAUAACGUAGCGAAAGUUACGCUAAUACCGCAUACGAUCUAAGGAUGAAAGCGGGGGAUCGCAAGACCUCGCGCGAUUGGAGCGGCCGAUAUCAGAUUAGGUAGUUGGUGAGGUAAAGGCUCACCAAGCCAACGAUCUGUAGCUGGUCUGAGAGGACGACCAGCCACACUGGAACUGAGACACGGUCCAGACUCCUACGGGAGGCAGCAGUGGGGAAUUUUGGACAAUGGACGCAAGUCUGAUCCAGCCAUUCCGCGUGCAGGAUGAAGGCCCUCGGGUUGUAAACUGCUUUUGUACGGAACGAAACGGUGAGCUCUAAUACAGUUUGCUAAUGACGGUACCGUAAGAAUAAGCACCGGCUAACUACGUGCCAGCAGCCGCGGU
Molecule: ribosomal RNA, 493 nt
Filed under: uncultured bacterium
Lineage: Bacteria
Description: bacterial SSU rRNA
Rfam family: Bacterial small subunit ribosomal RNA
Source: RNAcentral